RNAcentral lists this transfer RNA (61 nucleotides) under Geinula sp. BMNH 846542. RNAcentral describes it as "tRNA-Cys". The record is from RNAcentral. Lineage: Eukaryota; Metazoa; Arthropoda; Insecta; Coleoptera; Chrysomelidae.
GGUCUUAUAUUCAAGUAUGAUAUUAAAUUGCAAAUUUAAAGGUAAGUUAAUUUUAAGGCUU